This 404-nucleotide long non-coding RNA is filed under the name Pan troglodytes (chimpanzee). RNAcentral describes it as "long non-coding RNA NONPTRT018521". Lineage: Eukaryota; Metazoa; Chordata; Mammalia; Primates; Hominidae. The record is from RNAcentral.
UGGGUUUACCAGUAACACAGGCGUGUGCAUUAAUAUCCAAUAAAGCCCUUCUUUGCUAGCUCCAUGGUGAACCUCCUUGUGAUCUUUUCCAAUUCAUUUUCGGUAUAGUUCUUGGGAUUGAUCUUAACACCAGCUUUAGCACCCCCAAACGGCACAUCAACCACUGCACACUUGUAUGUCAUCAGAGAAGCCAAAGCUUUUACUUCAUCUACACUUACAUCAGUGCUGUAACGGAUACCUCCCUUGCAGGGCGUGCGGUGCUGGCUGUGCUGGGCCCGGUAGCCUUCAAUGACCUCCCAGGAGCCGUCGUCGCGCCGGAUGGGGAAGGAGAGACUCAGCACAUGGUUGCAGGGCUUGAUGAUCCGCAGGAUGCCGCGCACCCGGUUCCGCUUCUGCUCCUCGCU